GGGGUUGUGACUCAGUGGUAGAGUGCUCGCCUAGUAUGUGUGAGGCACUGGGUUCAAUCCUCAGCACCA
This 69-nucleotide transfer RNA is filed under the name Ictidomys tridecemlineatus (thirteen-lined ground squirrel). RNAcentral's name for it is "Spermophilus tridecemlineatus (thirteen-lined ground squirrel) tRNA". It matches the Rfam family "tRNA". From Rfam's summary of the family: Transfer RNA (tRNA) molecules are approximately 80 nucleotides in length. Their secondary structure includes four short double-helical elements and three loops (D, anti-codon, and T loops). RNAcentral also lists the same sequence under 1 other name. Lineage: Eukaryota; Metazoa; Chordata; Mammalia; Rodentia; Sciuridae. The record is from Rfam by way of RNAcentral.